CUACGGGAGGCAGCAGUGGGGAAUAUUGGACAAUGGGCGAAAGCCUGAUCCAGCCAUGCCGCGUGUGUGAAGAAGGCCUUCGGGUUGUAAAGCACUUUCAGUGGGGAAGAAAGCCUUGGGGCUAAUACCCUCGAGGAAGGACAUCACCCACAGAAGAAGCACCGGCUAACUCCGUGCCAGCAGCCGCGGUAAUACGGAGGGUGCGAGCGUUAAUCGGAAUUACUGGGCGUAAAGCGCGCGUAGGCGGUCUGAUAAGCCGGUUGUGAAAGCCCCGGGCUCAACCUGGGAACGGCAUCCGGGACUGUCAGGCGAGAGCGCCGGAGAGGAAAGUAGAAGUCCGGGUGUAGCAGUGAAAUGCGUAGAGAUAGGGAGGAAUACCAGUGGGGAAGGAGGACUUCUGGAAGGAAACUGACGCUGAGGUGCGAAAGCGUGGGUAGCAAACAGGAACAGAUAACCGUGUAGUC
Molecule: ribosomal RNA, 464 nt
Filed under: Vreelandella stevensii
Lineage: Bacteria; Pseudomonadati; Pseudomonadota; Gammaproteobacteria; Oceanospirillales; Halomonadaceae
Description: partial 16S ribosomal RNA
Rfam family: Bacterial small subunit ribosomal RNA
Source: RNAcentral